This is a long non-coding RNA of Equus caballus (horse), 9429 nucleotides long. The record is from Ensembl. Lineage: Eukaryota; Metazoa; Chordata; Mammalia; Perissodactyla; Equidae.
CACACACAAAUAUAUAAGUUUUCAUUUUUUGGUUUAUCAGGUAACAGAAUCCCAAGGACAAAUGAAACUUUCUGAUGAUGCAAAACACUUUUACUCCAAGGAAACUAUUUUAAGGUUUUCCACAAAAUGCCAUGAAUUCCUGGUGUUCCCGUCCUCAAGGGUCCCUUUGUCUGGACUUCUGUGUCCUUCCUAGGAAAACUAGCAGCCACACAGGCCCUAACACUAGCUGACAGCCUGUGUCAUCACGCACUGGGUGAUGAGCAAGCCGCAUCGUCUGCUCCGACACAGUAGGAAGUCACCAGCUCUCAGCAGUGCCAUGUGGUUGGAGGUUUUCCUGAUUGUUCCACACGGAGAUGACUCUUCUUCCUGCUUCGGGAUUUUGUUUUAUGAAAAUCAAGAGUGUUAGCAUUCAGAAAAAGAGCUUCCCUUUUAAAUGAUACAUGCCCAAAUAAAACAUUCAAACAAUGUGGAAAAGCACACACAAGAAAGUGAGGUAUCAGACAGCCAGCAUCCAGAGGGCGUUAUCGCUUAACAGGCCACAGAAACUUGGGAAGAGAAGGUCUCUGUUCCCUUCAUAGUGGUCCCAUUUUGUUGGCUCAGUCUGCUGUCAGAAAUCAGCAAAAAUCACCGCUGCACACAAUGUUCAGCUGACGUGGACUUUGCCUCUUGCUCACGUGUAAGGCGCUGUACAGCUAUCGCCCACCUGUCCAGCCAAUAUUUACUGUGCCCCAUCUAUGCCGAGUCAGGCUGGCUGUGGAGCCAGCACGUCCCAGAGCCUCUGGCCCUCACCUGGAGCACCCCUAGUCUUGUUGCAGUGUCCUCGGGAAAGCCUUCUGCUGAACACCCUUCAGCCUGAGGCUGCUGGGCUGUCCUGACCAGGCCGGAUGCUGCCAGGCCAGCCCGGAGCCUGUCCAGUGGCACUGAUCUAGAGUGUUCCCUGGACUGGCGUCUGCUGACCUAGGACCCUUCCCUGGUGGGCUCCCUAUGCCUAGUCCACUCUUUCUUUCUGACCAUCUCCUGUUUUGGGAAGCCAGAUGUUACAUAAGACCUGCUGUGAAGAAGCUGGAACUUAGUUCUUCCAGCAAGUUUUGUUACUCACUCUAAGAUGUCACAUCAGUCAAACCCGUUCUAUGACCUCUGGACACCCAGAGCUCCAACGUCACCUCCUGGGGCUACUUUCCUGAGCUCCCUGCUCCAAACGUCAGCGCCAUCCAUCUGGAGCCCCCGCCUUUAUGUAUUCUUGUUCAUAGCAUUUACCUACUUGACUCCUUACCCACGUCUGAUUGCGUGCUGGCUGUACCCCACUAGAAGGCCCCAGCCCUGUGCAAGGCGGGGGCGGGUGGUGAGGGAGGGGCCCGGUUUGUUCAUCCUGCAUCCCUCGCACGUCACAGUAGGCACUCGAUCAACGUACUCUGAAUGAAUGAGUGCAUGGAUGAGUGCAUCGUUCCAGACGGGCUCCUCCCUGUGACACUCUGCUUAGGCUGACCCAGAGCCCCUGAGACGCCCCGUGGAGAGGGAGGCCAGGGCUGCGCUGUUUCCUGUGCAAUCUGACCCUGAGGACACCCCUCGGCUUUAGCUGACAACGUUAGGUCAUUUGGCUCAUGCCAUAACGGCUCAUGCCUCCCAGUCUAAUGAUUUUUUAAGUACGCUUUUGGAUUUUCCUUUCAAAUAAACUAUCUCACCAGCUCCUGGUGACAAGUUGAACACCUCGGAGAUCACAGCACUGAGUCCUGGGGGUCAAAAGAAAUCAUUCAAAGCUGAGAAAAUCAAGUAGUAUUAAAAGGACAGAAGCUAACCCAGAGAAUUUUUUAAAUAACAUGAUAAACUAAAAUUGGGUAAUGGAGGGAGGUAGAGAAAGUGGCGGUGCUUCGGGUGGAGUAGUAAGUUCUGCCUAAUCUGAGCUACGUUACCCCGCAGAGCAGUAGUGUUACGAGGGCAACGGCAAGAUGAGCCAGAACCGAAAUAAUCAGCAGCAGCACAUGCACCCAAGAUGAAGAACACACAAACUAUAAACCAGGCAGUAAAAGAGAAAACAUGUAGAAAAUAGGACAGAAGUAAGACCAAGUAGCUCCAAAAUUUGACAGGGCUGAACUGAGCAUUUAAAUAUAAAACACAAACCCGCUAAAAGUUAAACCAUGAAACAUCUAGAAGGAAACAUAGGAGUUAGAAAAAGGAGUAAUUUUGGAGUGCAGAUUAGAAGUGUGAGUAAACGUUAAGACACCAUAAAACAAAAGAUUAAUAUGCUGACCGUAUACAGAUAGAUAGAAGAAAUCUGUAGGUCAAAAAAGGAAAAGAUGAAUAAAAUUUAAAAAGGAGGACCAAGCAUGAAAUAUACUUGCACCACACAUCAGAAUCAAAGCAGAUGGUGUCUUCACUUCCUGUUGCAUUACUGCACAUUAAUGACGAAAAGACCAACCACUCCACAGCAGGACCGGCAGGGGAGGUAGAGACGGAAACAGAAAUAACUGCCUCUCGUACACAAGGAAAGUCAAGAGAAAUGUAAUCAAAACUACACUGAGAUGCUCCUUCCCCACAUCGUAGUCAGGACACACUAGAAAGCAUGCAGAUGUCUCGCUGCCCUAGAGAUCCCUCUAGGUGCCCAACUCGCUCUCUUGACCUGGGGAGAAUGCUGCGCAUCUGUCUCAGCUGUCUGGCGCUGAUUGCUUAAGAAAACUAGAUGGGCACACCGCAGCCUUGAGGGGAGCCAGGUGAUGAUUUUUGGCUACUACAAAAAGAAAUAUGGAUCCAGUUCGACCUCAGAUGCAGGGUGAGGUGAGAAUGCCUGAGCAGAGAUCCUGGCGUGUGAACUGGGACGUGUAAUGAAUGAGACAGAAGGCUGUUGUCCCUCAGCCCCCAGCAGCUGUCCUGCCAGGAGCUGCCCCCAGGGGACUCAGGGCCCACCACACAGCAACUUACCUGCUUACACCAAGUGCGCAGCGUCAUGACAAAGGGAAACCUCUCCCAAAAGACAGAGCGGGGAAAGAAUCGUCCAGCCUGUCUCGCCUUCCUGUAGAAGGAACAACAGUGGGACAGCGUUUACACUUAUCUGAACGUUGGUUCCUGGUGUUCAGGGCUCUCCACAGGUCUCAACCUCCCUGCCAUCCCCUCAGGCAUUCCCUUCGUUCGUCCUCUAUUCUCACUCCACAUUGGGAAUAUCUCCUCUCCUUCUCCUAGAAACAGGCCCAGGCUCUGCACAGUGUCCUUCCCACUCCUGAAAUAUGCUCAGGCUUUCCUUGGAAUCUUGGCAGGCCAGGGCCCAAGCACAUCCUGCCCAACUUCCUGUGCGUAGGUUUGCACUGCUCCCUCUCUGCUGGCAGCUGACGUGCUGCCGGUUCCACCUGGGAACGGGAUGGACGACUUCUGAGCAGGGUCAGCCCUCCCUGAGGUGCACUGUCAAAUGUCGAGGGAGCCAGGGUGCCUCUCUUCUCAGGAAGAUGCUCGUGCUUGCCCCGUGGCCCCUCGACAGCACCACAUCCUGAGAGGAGAAAAGUGAAGGCUUAGCGGGUGGGAUCACGCUGCCCACGAUCUUGGCCCGGGUCCCUUCAGUGCUUCCUGGUUGUCUCCUCGUCAGCACAGAUGGAGAAAAUAACAAGACGACCAACAGGCUGAGCUGGACAGAGACCUUUCCUUUCAGCAUCCUGUGAGCCAGCCAGAGAAGAUUAGCCCUGAGCUAACAUCUGCCACCAAGCCUCCUCUUUUUGCUGAGGAAGACUGGCCCUGAGCUAGCAUCUGUGCCUAUCUUCCUCUACUGUAUAUGUGGGACGUCUGCCACAGCACGGCUUGACAAGUGGUGCACAGGUCUGCACCUGGGAUCCGAACUGGCAAAGUCCAGGCUGCUGAAGCAGAGUGCGCUAACCCUACUGCUACGCCACCAGGCCAGCCCAGUAUUUUAUUCUUUUUGAUGCUAUUGUGAAUGGAAUUAUUAUUUUAAUUUCCUUUUUGGAUCCUUCAUUGUUAAUGUAUGCUGCGUGGGCUUCCACCCUGAUGGGCAUGGAGAGCAUGAUCCAGCUGUGUCCAUAAGAUCUUAGAACACCUGUACAGCUGGAAGAGCCCUGGCCAGCCUUGGUUGACAAGGACUCAGACUUUUCCAGGAAAUGGACUGGUGCCCAGAGAGGUCAACUGCUCACAGCGUCUGCCUAGUAACCAGAUCCACAAGAGCCAAGCUUGGCUCCAGUCCUCUCUCCUGGCCCUGCCACACGCUCCCAGCAUCUAUUUCUUACAACUAAUGGUGCUGAAAACUUAAUAUCCACACCUGCUGAUGCCUGUUGACAUGCGAAGUGAAUCUGCACCAGAUCAGUGAUGCUUGUAGAACACGGACACAAUAAAUGGAUUCUGAUGCUCCCUAAAUGCCAGCCAAUCUCUUUCAGACCUCAGCAGGAAUACAUUGAAUUGAUAAACAGACUCUAAAUAAACCUCACCGGAAAUCACAAUGUGGCCCCUUAGAAAAGAGCCAAACCCCCUCCAUCCACAAUGACGAUGUGGGUCAGGAACCAAACUGCACACAACCCUCAUCCUGGGCUCUGAGGGUGACGCGUUUGCUGCCAUGGAAAGUGUUUGGGCUCCUCGCUCCACCUGUAUCCUCAGAGGCCUUAUCUCCAGGGCAAAGGCAGCCUUUCUGGAGGUGGAGACCCACCAUCUGUUGUCAGUGCUCUCUUCUUCCCUGGCCUCUGAACUCUGCAGCCCCAAACGGAAGCCCUGAAAGCAGGCUGUGUGUGGUUGCAGCCUGGUGAGCCCCUGCCCUGAGGGCCCUUAUCUGCAGCCACACUUCUGGAGCCAGGCCAGUGACCUUGCUCCACCGAUGAACUUCCCCACUGACUUCUCAAUUCCUGGAAUUGUUCAGAAAAUCCCGUUGGAAAUCCAAGGACGGCUGGGUCUCUCAGUGCUGCUGCUUGUGCACAGAGAAAGGAAGAGCUAUGGCCUGACUGUGGGGCUCUGGGGUCUGGGAAUCCCACACUUUCAGGGGCUUGUGGGGAGGGGGCUUAGAUUCUGUCUCCUUCUGCUGGUCGUGGUUCCUGGAAUGUGGAAGCAAGCCUAGAUCCUAUAGAAGCUUCUCAAGUUCUUGGCCCCCCGCCCUCUAAAGGGAAACCUUUAGGAUAAAAAACAAUUCACCUCAUUAGAAAGCACCCCUCUUUUAAUAUGAAACACAGAAAUGAAGAAGACAGAAAGGAAAGAUGAAAGAAAUAUGAAAAGGCAGCACCUUUCCAGCUCUCAUUAUGUGUCUGACACUGCGCAAAGGACUUGAUCAACACAGACCUCAUUUCGUUCUUAUAAUAACCUAGGAGACAACCAUCACUGUCACUCCCAUUUUACAGAUGCGGAACUAAAGUGCGGGGCAGCUGCAUAUCCAGAACAGCCCUUUCAAGGCCCGUGUUCAAACAUCGUUAAGAAUUUCAAGAUGGCGACAGUGGAGCAUUAAACACAGCAUGGGCCCUUCUGGGCGCGGGCCACGUGACUCGUCUCAGCGAGCAGAGGAGGCAGCCUCUGGAGCCCCCCAGUACAUAGUUACACGUUCUAGUUGUGAGUGCCUCUGGUUGUGCUAUAUGGGACGCCUCAACACGACCUGAUGAGCCGUGCCACGUCUGCGCCCAGGAUCCGAACCGGCAAAACCCUGGGCCGCCGAAGCGGAGUGCGCAAACCUAACCACUCGGCCUCUGGGCUGGCCCCAUAAAUGCUGUCUUUGAGGCAAGUGCGAAUGGGGACGAGAGGGUGAGCUCUGGCCUUAGCCCUGCAUCCCUGGGUCUGAGAUCUGGUUCACCAACGCCCUCCUCUGGGGACCGUACAGCCCCCUGAAGACUAAGUGGGUGGAUUGCAUCUCAGACUAGACUCAGGUGCAGGACACUCAUGACGUGUGAGCUCUGUGCCAGUUCACUGGGACCAUGUUCUAGGCAGAAUCAAUCCAUGCUGAGGCCAACUUGAUAUCCAGGCUGUUUUUCUUGGGUGUAGGGAAAAGAUAAGAACCAGGAAAUUAAAUAGUGCAUGAUCCACACAACCAGAAAACAAACAGUAAUGGCUCUGACUAUACAAUGACAAGAGGUGGGGCCUUCCCAGACACAGGGAGGGGCCGUGGUGAUGGGUCUGCGGCCGCCUCACAGGGCAGUCAUCAUUGGAAGCUUCUGUGAGCCUGAGAGACCUGACCAGUCGCUUCACUCACUGGAGGGGCUACUUUCGGUCAGAUUAUCAGAAGGUUCUUGAGGUUCAGGUCAACUUAAGCUAGCGGAUGCCAUGUCAGUCUGAUGAAUAUGACAGCUGCCCACCGCAGGAAACAUGGGCAGUGUUUGUGUGGCUGAAUCUUUCAAUUAUGGUUGAAAUAAAGACUGGUUUGUGGACAAAUACGAAAUUGGGCUAUUCUCCAGGGCACUUUAGGAAUGCUUAAAAGAGGUAACUGAUGCCCCCAAAGCACAAACACUGGAUGCUGGCUUCUCCAUGCUUCUCAGGAUGCCAAACAUCUGGAUUAAGACUCGAUUAAGACUCUGGUUUAAGACACCAGAGCACUGGCAGACAGCUUCAUUACCCACAGUGAGCCGUGUGCAGGUCACAUGGGGCACUCAACAGUGAUUGGUUGAUGGAAUUGACAGCAUGACCUGUGAAGUCCAAUGUUCCCCCAAGAUGCAUUUCUAGAGCACCAGUGUCCUACAGGACUUUAAUAAAUGUUACUCAGAGAAAAAGCUUCCAUGGUCCGUUGAGUUUGGAAAACACUAAAGUAAACAGUUUUCUUUCUUUAGGAUUUACUGGUGCCUUUAAUUUGCUAACAGGUGCUUACUUACCCAGAGGGGGUAAGUAUGAAGCUAUACACAGAUUUAUUAGACAAAACGCUCAAACCUCUUUUCUUUUUUAAAAAACGUUUCUGGAACAUUUAUUGACUUGUGGAAAAUACAUGAUCCAAGGAGAAGAGCUGGCCCAGUGCUGCUGGAGAAAGCUCAGUCUCCCCGCUCCACACUUGGCUGCACUGAUUUGAGGUCUCAUUCAUUCUGCUGCAUUCGAAUCCUUGUCAGGGACAUGGAGUACCAGGAAAUUUUGUCAGAGUUUACAUAUUUGACUUCUCUAAGGCCUUUGCAUCCUGUUCAGAAACCUCAAGCCCGGGCUGCAUCUUUCCAGGCCUAUGAGUGAGAAGCCUGGAAUGGUAGGCCACAUGAAGAUGGCCGUCUGGAUUUUGCCCUCAGCUUUUCCAUUCUGAGGCUUUGGGGAAAGCAUGUCACAGGAAGCCAAAAACACUGGAUAAGAAAAAGGAAGCGUUGGGAUGUGAUAAGUGUAGUGUAGGUUUUGGCCAACACUUUUGCCUUCCUAGUUCUUUUACGUGGGCUGACGAUAACGUUUGUUCCACUCCCACGCGCGUGCUAGCUGGAUGGCCUCGCUCCCUGAUGGCAGAGGUGGGUCCUACAUCUGCACCCUCUUCCCUGAAGGGGGAGCUGACAUACAGAGGAGCUGUCUUGGGUUGGGACCCUAUAACCUGCACCUGAGAUGAGUUUGCUGGCGAGAGAUCUCAGGAAGUGUCAGCUAGGAAGUGAGGGAUGAGACGGGUUGAAAGGAGCUCAGACAGCAUGCUUCUGUGAGCAGAGCAUCACGGGCUUUGUCCUGCUGGGCCACCCACUGCCAAGAGUGAGAAGGAGCCCUCAUCUCUCUGGCUCAGACCUGCUCCCAGGGAUGUUAGCUCCUUGGCUCUUUAGCCAGAGAAGGCCCUGGGGAGAUGCAGAGGCUGGCCCUUGGCUGCCCAGUGUUGUCAGGGUGCAGAGUGCCCAGGAACUGUGGCUGGGGCCGGAGGUGACACGCCUCUCCAGCAUUUUUAGUUCAGAGCUUCUUGGUCAUGGAUCACUCUGCGACGCAUCUUCUUUGGGUGACGUAAUGGCAUGGACCUUGUCUCACAGGGUGACUGGCGGGCAUGGCACUCGGCCUCCAGGGAGGACUACCCUCUGGAAAUUCUCUGCUCCUCCCGCUUCUCCUUCCUUUGCCCCUACCCCCACCUUUCAAGCCCACCUCUGCCCUUCGAGGUGACACUCAAGUCCCAUUUACCUCAGGGAUGCCUCCCAGACAGCGCUGGGCACCUGGACCAGAGAUGGCCCUCCAUGGACCCUGGAUACGCAUUUGUGGGGUCCUCUCCCUGAAUCCCGACUCUAACGUCUGUGCUAUGGGGGGUCUCCAGUGCUCAUUCUGUACCUCACUCCCAGGGCAGCACCCAGCACACAGGGGUCUCCUACUGGGAGGUGUCAGUUAGGCGAGGACAUCAUGCAGGUGGUCCACACCCUUAGCUUGGGGAUUUUUACCCGUCACCACCAGGGAAAGGGCAGCCACCCCAACAUUGCCGGCGAGCCCUACCCUCCCUCUCCAAGUGACAGAGAUGGCUGGCCACAUGGUGGAGGGUUCACAGGUGGGGUCCAUGUGGAUUCCCAAGUCUCUGGACUCUACCGCUUGUCCCAUAAGUAUUUAUUGCCCAGUGCCAGUUCAGAGUUCAGAUGCUAGGGUUUGAAUGGUGCUAGUUCACUACGUGACCUUGUGUAAGUCACUCAGUGUCUGUGUGCCUCACUUACCCCAUCUGUACAGUGGGUGUGACAAGAGAACCUUCCUCAGAGGUUUCUGUGAGGACUGGAGGAGAUAUGUAAGGAGCCCAGCACGUGCCUGGUGCAGAGGAAGACCUGCUGAGCUCUGGGCCACCGCUAUCGCUCCUGCAACUCCUGCCGGCGCGGGCCUCUUACGGGGUAGCAAGGUGACCCAGGCCUGGUCUUUCCGUGCCUUGAGCACAGACGGUUUUUUUUUUCUUAUCAACUUUAUUUAGGAAUAAUUUAUGGGCAAUAAACUGCGUCCAUUUAAAAUGAACAGUUAGGGAAUUUUGACGGUUUUAUGCACGCAUAGAACCACAACCACAGUCAAGAUACUGAACAUUUCUGUCACCUCCAAAAGAUUCCUGUGCCCCUUUGCAGACCCGUCUGGUGCCUGGACCCAGGGGACCACUGACCAGCUUCUAGUCAUUGGAGAUUAGUUUUCUUUCUAUGUAAAUGGAAUCGCACGUGUACUCUUGUGUCGGACUCCUUUUGCUCUGUAUAAUGGCUUUGAGAGUCACAUGCUGUCAUGUGUGUCAGUGGUGCUAUGGUCUGAGUGCGUCCCCUCGAGUUCGUGUGUUGCACCCUAACUCCCAGGAUGGUGUGGGGCGCCCUGCCUUCAGGAGCCCUUAGGCCACAAAGGUGGAGCCCUGCUAGCGCUUCCUAAGAGAGCUGCCACAGAGACCCCUGGCCUCCUCCACUGUCACCUGGGACUCAGAAGCGCGCCUUGCCGGGCCCCACCUGCACUCUGGUCUCUGACCCGCAGCCUCCAGGACUGAGAAAUAAAUUUCUGUUGUUCUUAAGCCAGUCUGUGGUAUUCUGUUAGUAGCCAGAACGGACUAAAGUUUGUUGAAGACAAGUAGUUUGUUCCUUUUAACUCCUGAAUGCAAAUUGCAAU